GACGAACGCUGGCGGCGUGCUUAACACAUGCAAGUCGAACGGAAAGGCCCUGCUUGUGUGGGGUGCUCGAGUGGCGAACGGGUGAGUAACACGUGAGUAACCUGCCCUUGACUUUGGGAUAACUUCAGGAAACUGGGGCUAAUACCGGAUAGGAGCUCCUGCUGCAUGGUGGGGGUUGGAAAGUUUCGGCGGUUGGGGAUGGACGCGCGGCUUAUCAGCUUGUUGGUGGGGUAGUGGCUUACCAAGGCUUUGACGGGUAGCCGGCACGAGAGGGUGACCGGCCACAUUGGGACUGCGAUACGGACCAGACUCCUACGGGGGGCAGCAGUGGGGAAUAUUGCACAAUGGGCGGAAGCCUGAUGAAGAAACGCCGCGUGCGGGAUGACGGCUUUUGGGUUGUAAACCGCUUUCGCCUGUGACGAAGCGUGAGUGACGGUAAUGAGUAAAGAAGCACCGGCUAACUACGUG
RNAcentral lists this ribosomal RNA (468 nucleotides) under uncultured bacterium. Its description in RNAcentral is "partial 16S ribosomal RNA". It matches the Rfam family "Bacterial small subunit ribosomal RNA", at positions 28 to 507 of the family's 1533-position model. The record is from RNAcentral.